RNAcentral lists this ribosomal RNA (806 nucleotides) under uncultured bacterium. RNAcentral's name for it is "bacterial SSU rRNA". It matches the Rfam family "Bacterial small subunit ribosomal RNA", at positions 616 to 1423 of the family's 1533-position model. The record is from RNAcentral.
GGGAACUGCGUUNUGAACUGGGUGACUAGAGUGUGUCAGAGGGAGGUAGAAUUCCACGUGUAGCAGUGAAAUGCGUAGAGAUGUGGGGGAAUACCGAUGACGAAGGCAGCNUCCUGGGAUAACACUGACGUUCAUGCCCGAAAGCGUGGGUAGCAAACAGGAUUAGAUACCCUGGUAGUCCACGCCCUAAACGAUGUCGAUUAGCUGUUGGGCAGCAUGACUGCUUAGUAGCGAAGCUAACGCGUGAAAUCGACCGCCUGGGGAGUACGGUCGCAAGAUUAAAACUCAAAGGAAUUGACGGGGACCCGCACAAGCGGUGGAUGAUGUGGAUUAAUUCGAUGCAACGCGAAGAACCUUACCUGGUCUUGACAUGUACGGAAUUCUCCAGAGACGGAGGAGUGCCUUCGGGAGCCGUAACACAGGUGCUGCAUGGCUGUCGUCAGCUCGUGUCGUGAGAUGUUGGGUUAAGUCCCGCAACGAGCGCAACCCUUGUCAUUAGUUGCCAUCAUUAAGUUGGGCACUCUAAUGAGACUGCCGGUGACAAGCCGGAGGAAGGUGGGGAUGACGUCAAGUCCUCAUGGCCCUUAUGACCAGGGCUUCACACGUCAUACAAUGGUCGGUACAGAGGGUAGCCAAGCCGCGAGGCGGAGCCAAUCUCACAAAACCGAUCGUAGUCCGGAUUGCACUCUGCAACUCGAGUGCAUGAAGUCGGAAUCGCUAGUAAUCGCAGGUCAGCAUACUGCGGUGAAUACGUUCCCGGGUCUUGUACACACCGCCCGUCACACCAUGGGAGUGGGGGAUACCAG